RNAcentral lists this transfer RNA (84 nucleotides) under Bacteriophage sp. RNAcentral describes it as "tRNA-Leu". It matches the Rfam family "tRNA". Rfam says of the family: Transfer RNA (tRNA) molecules are approximately 80 nucleotides in length. Their secondary structure includes four short double-helical elements and three loops (D, anti-codon, and T loops). The record is from RNAcentral.
GCUUCCGUGGUGGAAUAGGUAGACACAAUGGACUUAAAAUCCAUUGGGAGAAAUCCCGUGAAGGUUCAAUCCCUUUCGGAAGUA